AGCGCAGGCGGCAGGGCAAGUCCGAUGUGAAAACCCGGGGCUCAACCCCGGGAUUGCAUUGGAAACUGUCCAGCUCGAGUGUCGGAGAGGUAAGCGGAAUUCCUAGUGUAGCGGUGAAAUGCGUAGAUAUUAGGAGGAACACCAGUGGCGAAGGCGGCUUACUGGACGAUGACUGACGCUGAGGCUCGAAAGCGUGGGGAGCAAACA
This 207-nucleotide ribosomal RNA is filed under the name uncultured bacterium. Its description in RNAcentral is "partial 16S ribosomal RNA". It matches the Rfam family "Bacterial small subunit ribosomal RNA", at positions 568 to 774 of the family's 1533-position model. The record is from RNAcentral.